AGCAUUUUCACCAAUUCAGGCAAAAAAAUAAAAAUAAAAAAAUUGCAACACAACUGUAUAGCUUUUACUUUAGAGAUUCGGAGCUCAACCAACAUGAAGCCCAUCCCAUGCCUGCCACAUCAGCUAAAACAGGUUAUCGCUGCCAUUUCAGAGAAUCUGAGUGCAUCCAACACAGAGCCCCCCCAUGCCUGCCACACCAACUAAAACAGGAUGACUCUUUGAGUUAAGAAUUUGGCUGUCCGAGCAUGCUGGGAGUUGUAGUGUUUGCAACAGCUUAAGGCGCCCCCGCUCGAGAAACACCGUCCAUAUACUGUGAAUUCCGCGGUCCCCUCAAGAGAGAUGCCAAAAUAUUCCUUUCCGCGCUCCCAACAGCUGAACUAUAUAUCCGCCGCUGAAAAACAUCCAAUCCUUAAAUACUUAAUGAAGCUACUAUAAAAAAAUAAAUAAAUAAAUAAAUAAAAAUCUCACAUUGAGAAAUCCGAGCCGCCGUCGCCGCCGCUCCCUCUUUAAUUUGGCAAAUCAUAUAUGCAAGGAUUAACCCUUUCCGGGCACGAGGCGACAGAUCCGUGCCAGGUAUGUCGAACGCCGGG
Molecule: long non-coding RNA, 590 nt
Organism: Hyla sarda
Lineage: Eukaryota; Metazoa; Chordata; Amphibia; Anura; Hylidae
Exons: 3
Source: RefSeq, a predicted model, not a curated record